RNAcentral lists this small RNA (127 nucleotides) under Marmota monax (woodchuck). Lineage: Eukaryota; Metazoa; Chordata; Mammalia; Rodentia; Sciuridae. The record is from RNAcentral.
GCUGGGAGUGGUGGCAUGCGCCUGUAAUCCCAGCAGCUUUGGAGGCUGAGGCAGGAGGAUCAUGAGUUCAAAGCCAGCCUCAGCAAUUUAGCGAGGCUCUAAGCAACCCAGUGAGACCCUGUCACUA